GCUUGCUUCUCUUGAGAGCGGCGGACGGGUGAGUAAUGCCUAGGAAUCUGCCUGGUAGUGGGGGAUAACGCUCGGAAACGGACGCUAAUACCGCAUACGUCCUACGGGAGAAAGCAGGGGACCUUCGGGCCUUGCGCUAUCAGAUGAGCCUAGGUCGGAUUAGCUAGUUGGUGAGGUAAUGGCUCACCAAGGCGACGAUCCGUAACUGGUCUGAGAGGAUGAUCAGUCACACUGGAACUGAGACACGGUCCAGACUCCUACGGGAGGCAGCAGUGGGGAAUAUUGGACAAUGGGCGAAAGCCUGAUCCAGCCAUGCCGCGUGUGUGAAGAAGGUCUUCGGAUUGUAAAGCACUUUAAGUUGGGAGGAAGGGCAUUAACCUAAUACGUUGGUGUCUUGACGUUACCGACAGAAUAAGCACCGGCUAACUCUGUGCCAGCAGCCGCGGUAAUACAGAGGGUGCAAGCGUUAAUCGGAAUUACUGGGCGUAAAGCGCGCGUAGGUGGUUUGUUAAGUUGGAUGUGAAAUCCCCGGGCUCAACCUGGGAACUGCAUUCAAAACUGACAAGCUAGAGUAUGGUAGAGG
Molecule: ribosomal RNA, 583 nt
Filed under: Pseudomonas sp.
Lineage: Bacteria; Pseudomonadati; Pseudomonadota; Gammaproteobacteria; Pseudomonadales; Pseudomonadaceae
Description: bacterial SSU rRNA
Rfam family: Bacterial small subunit ribosomal RNA
Source: RNAcentral